GAUGAAGAACGUAGCGAAAUGCGAUAAGUAAUGCGAAUUGCAGAAUUCCAGUGAGUCAUCGAAUCUUUGAACGGACAUUGCACCCUUUGGUAUUCCGAAGGGCAUGCCUGUUCGAGCGUCAUUAUCACCCCUCAAGCCCUCGGCUUGGUGUUGGACGGUUUGGUGGAGGCCCCCUCGGGGGCUCCUGCCCCUCCCAAAGACAAUGACGGCGGCCUCGUUGGACCCCCGGUACACUGAGUUCUUCACGGGACACGUAUCGGACACAUGGGUUUACGGGACACGGUCUGCCUCCCCUCAGGGAGAAUCUUUCUAAGGUUGACCUCGGAUCAGGUAGGGAUACCCGCUGAACUUAAGCAUAUCAAUAAGCGGAGGA
This 373-nucleotide unclassified non-coding RNA is filed under the name soil metagenome. RNAcentral's name for it is "partial contains 5.8S ribosomal RNA, internal transcribed spacer 2, and large subunit ribosomal RNA". The stretch from base 1 to 121 matches the Rfam family "5.8S ribosomal RNA", at positions 35 to 154 of the family's 154-position model. The record is from RNAcentral.